GUCCAUUUAUAGAGAGCUUUGAAUCUUCUUUUGGGUAGGCGUGGCCGAUAAUUUGUGAUGAAAAGGAUGGCUUAGAUGGCAUCUUUCGGCAUCUUUUGUGGCUAAUCAGAGAGGCAUCUUUGGGUGUGGCAGACAGCUUCAAUUGGUAAGGAUUCUUUUGGAUUUUGUUAGAGCACCUUUUAUUGGAAUGUGUAGCCACCUGCACCUUUUAUUGGAAUAUGUAGCUACCCUUGUUUUGUUUUUUGCAUAAAGGGCAUCCUAUGAAUACAGUAGAGUCAUGUGAUACUC
Molecule: long non-coding RNA, 288 nt
Filed under: Elaeis guineensis (African oil palm)
Lineage: Eukaryota; Viridiplantae; Streptophyta; Magnoliopsida; Arecales; Arecaceae
Description: long non-coding RNA (EGUI_LNC008420)
Source: RNAcentral